CACGUAGGGUGCAAGCGUUGUCCGGAAUCAUUGGGCGUAAAGAGCUCGUAGGCGGCUUAGUAAGUCGGGUGUGAAAACCCCAGGCUCAACCUGGGGACGCCACCCGAUACUGCUAUAGCUAGAGUCCAGUAGGGGAGUGUGGAAUUCCCAGUGUAGCGGUGAAAUGCGCAGAUAUUGGGAGGAACACCAGCGGCGAAGGCGGCACUCUGGGCUGGUACUGACGCUGAGGAGCGAAAGCCAGGGGAGCAAACGGG
RNAcentral lists this ribosomal RNA (254 nucleotides) under uncultured bacterium. RNAcentral's name for it is "partial 16S ribosomal RNA". It matches the Rfam family "Bacterial small subunit ribosomal RNA", at positions 524 to 776 of the family's 1533-position model. The record is from RNAcentral.